RNAcentral lists this unclassified non-coding RNA (2525 nucleotides) under uncultured Bordetella sp. RNAcentral's name for it is "partial 16S-23S ribosomal RNA intergenic spacer". The stretch from base 1 to 1475 matches the Rfam family "Bacterial small subunit ribosomal RNA". The record is from RNAcentral. Lineage: Bacteria; Pseudomonadati; Pseudomonadota; Betaproteobacteria; Burkholderiales; Alcaligenaceae.
GGUUUGAUCAUGGCUCAGAUUGAACGCUGGCGGGAUGCUUUACAUGCAAGUCGAGCGGCAACUGGACUUCGGUCUGGUGGCGAGUGGCGAACAGGUGAGUAAUGUAUCAGGAACGUGCCUAGUAGCGGGGGAUAACUACGCGAAAGCAUAGCUAAUACCGCAUACGCCCUUCGAGGAAAGCGGGGGACCUUCGGGCCUCGCACUAUUAGAGCAGCCGAUAUCGGAUUAGCUAGUUGGUGGGGGUGUAACGGCUCACCAGGCGACGAUCCGUAGCUGAUUUGAGAGGACGACCAGCCACUGGGACUGAGACACGGCCCAGACUCCUACGGGAGAGCAGCAGUGAAAUUUUGGACAAUGGGGGAAACCCUGAUCCAGCCAUCCCGCGUGUGCGAUGAAGGCCUUCGGGUUGUAAAGCACUUUUGGCAGGAAAGAAACGGCACGGGAUAAUACCCGUGCAGCGGCAAUACCUGCCAGAUAAGCACCGGCUAACUACGUGCCAGCAGCCGCGGUAAUACGUAGGGUGCAAGCGUUAAUCGGAAUUACUGGGCGUAAAGCGUGCGCAGGCGGUUCGGAAGAAGAUGUGAAAUCAGGCUUAACUUUGGAACUGCAUUUUUAACUACCGAGCUAGAGUGUGUCAGAGGGAGGUGGAAUUCCGCGUGUAGCAGUGAAAUGCAUGUAGAUAUGCGGGCUACCGAUGGCGAAGGCAGCCUCCUGGGAUAACACUGACGCUCAUGCACAGCGUGGGGGCAAGCAGGAUUAGAAUGCCACAGUCCACGCCUAAACGAUGUCAACUAGCUGUUGGGGCCUUCGGGCCUUGUGGUAGCGCAACUAACGCGUGAAGUUGACCGCCUGGGGAGUACGGUCGCAAGAUUAAAACUCAAAGGAAUUGACGGGGACCCGCACAAGCGGUGGAUGAUGUGGUUAAUUCGAUGCAGCGCGAAAAACCUUACCUACCCUUGACAUGUCUGGAAUCCCGAAGAGAUUUGGGAGUGCUCGCAAGAGAACCGGAACACAGGUGCUGCAUGGCUGUCGUCAGCUCGUGUCGCGGAUGUUGGGUUAAGUCCCGCAACGAGCGCAACCCUUGUCAUUAGUUGCUACGAAAGGGCACUCUAAUGAGACUGCCGGAGCGACAAACCGGGAGGUGGGGAUGACGUCAGAGUCCUCAUGGCCGUAUGGGUAGGGCUUCACGUCCGCCGUGGUCCGGGACAGAGGGUCGCCAACCCGCGAGGGAGCCAAUCCCAGAAACCCGAUCGUAGUCCGGAUCGCAGUCUGCAACUCGACUGCGUGAAGUCGGAAUCGCUGGUAAUCGCGGAUCAGCAUGUCGCGGUGAAUACGUUCCCGGGUCUUGUACACACCGCCCGUCACACCAUGGGAGUGGGUUUUACCGAAGUAGUUAGCUAACGUAAGGAGGGCGAUUACCACGGUAGAGUUCAUGACUGGGGUGAAGUCGUAACAAGGCUCUGUUUACUACCUGGGAGCGGCUCGCUGACCGCGACGAUCGCCGUGGUAAUCGCCCUCGCUACGAUUUAGACUAACUACUUCUGGUAAAAUUGCUCCCAGUGUUGUGACGGGCGGCCUGUCUGCAGACCCGGAACAUAUUCUACGUGCUGAUCCUGAUACAAAGCGAUUCCGGCAUCGGUGCGAUCAGACGGUUUCUUGGAUUGAGCUCCCCUCGCGGAUUGCGGCCUCCUGUCCCGACCGACCAUGAUGAAACCCAAAUAAAAAAUUGCCAUGAAAGACGCGACGUCAUCCCUCUUCCGGUUUUCGUGUCUCGCCAGAAAUUAGCAACUAAUGACAAGGAUUGCGCUCGUUGUUAACAACAUCUCACGACACGAGCUGACGACAGCGCCAUGCAGCGCACCUGUGUUCCGAUUUACUUCUCUUCAGGUCAAAAACGAUAGGUUGCGUAUGUCAUCAGUGCGGGUCGUCGAAUUCGCGGUUUUAAUCGAACCACUCCCCCAGGCGGUCAACUACGCGUUGCCUGCGCCUGCCUCCCUUUAGCUAGUUAUCGUUUACUCCACCUCCCUCUGACACUCUAACUCGGUAGUUAAAAAUGCAGUUCAAGUUAAGCACAUCUUUUUGCUGUUUUUACCCUACGUAUUACGCGGCUGUAGCGUAAUAGCCGGUACAAAAAUCAGUUACGGGCAAUCUGCCGUUGCCAAAAGUGCUUUUUGGCCCGAGGCUGGGGCAUCGCACACGGAUGGCUGGAUGGACUCCCCCAUUGUAUCCCAAAAUUCCCCCGCGUCUGAGACUGUCUCAGUCCCGGCUGGUCGUCACUAUAAAAUCAGCUUCGCCUUGAGCGUUUACCCCACCAACAACGCAUCUUUUGCCCUAUGAGUGCGGGCGGAUCCCUUUCCCCCGGGGCGCAGCGUAGUUAUCCCCGCUACGUUCGGCCGAUUACUCCGCACCGUUCGCCACGCCACUGCCAGGUGACCGAGGAGUCCAUAGCGCGCCGCCGACCCGCGUAAUCCGCCAGCGUCAAUCUGAAUAGAGAAUCAAACGCACCUGAUGCUCAACAUGCGCUU